Molecule: long non-coding RNA, 534 nt
Filed under: Elaeis guineensis (African oil palm)
Lineage: Eukaryota; Viridiplantae; Streptophyta; Magnoliopsida; Arecales; Arecaceae
Description: long non-coding RNA (EGUI_LNC078887)
Source: RNAcentral
UUAUAUCUCUUCCUUUGUUGCCACCUCCUCUCCUUGGGCGUGGAUCCUUCUUGGACAUCCUACCUGCUAGUGUGAGGUGUCAUAUCAUUACAUCUCAUCCCUCGAUUGAUUGUAUAUGUGAAGCCAAUUGAAUUGGAGUUCAUCCUGCUUUCCUGCGGCGUCUAACGUGUAUACGAAGUAGAUGGUCUGUAUAUCCAGGACUCCACAAAGGUUUAUAUCAGAUAAUUUGAGAUUUGAUCCAUGGUUCCGUUGUAAUUUAGGUAAGGAUUUGAUCCUUAAACAAGUAGAACAUUAAAAAAAAUUCUUAGAUGCAACUUGAGCAUUCUGGAAGAAAACUAUUUCCUUCCCUUCAAAGGAGACUCUCACUAUUUUAUCAGAUCUCCCAUGCUCUCCAAGUGGAGAAACGAAAAUUCUAACAUGAUAUUUAGGUUUCUAGUGAGUGUUGCAGUCCCACCGAUGCUGUGCACCUUUUCUAACAGUUAUUGGUAACACAAAUGAACACCAAUGCACAGACAACUCUUUGCCCAAAUGCUU